AAAGAAACCAACAGGGAUUGCCUCAGUAACGGCGAGUGAAGCGGCAAAAGCUCAAAUUUGAAAUCUGGCCCUUUCAGGGUCCGAGUUGUAAUUUGCAGAGGAUGCUUCGGGAGCGGCGGCGGUCUAAGUCCCCUGGAACGGGGCGUCGCAGAGGGUGAGAAUCCCGUCUUGGACCGCAUGCCCGUGACCGUGUGAAGCUCCUUCGACGAGUCGAGUUGUUUGGGAAUGCAGCUCAAAAUGGGUGGCAAAUUUCAUCUAAAGCUAAAUACUGGCUGGAGACCGAUAGCGCACAAGUAGAGUGAUCGAAAGGUUAAAAGCACCUUGAAAAGGGAGUUAAAUAGCACGUGAAAUUGUUGAAAGGGAAGCGCUUGCAACCAGACUCGGCCGUGGAGGCUCAGUGGGCACGUGUGCCCAUGCACUCCUUCGCGGCCGGGCCAGCAUCAGUUCUGACGGCCGGUCAAAGGCCCCUGGAAUGUAUCCUCCUCCGGGAGGUCUUAUAGCCAGGGGUGCAAUGCGGUCAGUCGGGACUGAGGAACGCGCUUCGGCACGGAUGCUGGCGUAAUGGUUGUAAGCGAC
This 576-nucleotide ribosomal RNA is filed under the name Gymnascella citrina. RNAcentral's name for it is "eukaryotic LSU rRNA". It matches the Rfam family "Eukaryotic large subunit ribosomal RNA", at positions 58 to 648 of the family's 3401-position model. The record is from RNAcentral. Lineage: Eukaryota; Fungi; Ascomycota; Eurotiomycetes; Onygenales; Gymnoascaceae.